CCAAAGGCUCUUUUCAGAGCCACCGCAACAGCCCCAAGGGAGAGCUG
This is a non-coding RNA of Anolis carolinensis (green anole), 47 nucleotides long. The record is from Rfam. NCBI's taxonomy places the organism in Eukaryota, Metazoa, Chordata, Lepidosauria, Squamata, Anolidae.